UGUGUGUUAGUGGAAGCGUCUGGAAAGGCGCGCGAUACAGGGUGACAGCCCCGUACACAAAAAUGCACAUGCUGUGAGCUCGAUGAGUAGGGCGGGACACGUGGUAUCCUGUCUGAAUAUGGGGGGACCAUCCUCCAAGGCUAAAUACUCCUGACUGACCGAUAGUGAACCAGUACCGUGAGGGAAAGGCGAAAAGAACCCCGGCGAGGGGAGUGAAAAAGAACCUGAAACCGUGUACGUACAAGCAGUGGGAGCACGCUUAGGCGUGUGACUGCGUACCUUUUGUAUAAUGGGUCAGCGACUUAUAUUCUGUAGCAAGGUUAACCGAAUAGGGGAGCCGAAGGGAAACCGAGUCUUAACUGGGCGUUAAGUUGCAGGGUAUAGACCCGAAACCCGGUGAUCUAGCCAUGGGCAGGUUGAAGGUUGGGUAACACUAACUGGAGGACCGAACCGACUAAUGUUGAAAAAUUAGCGGAUGACUUGUGGCUGGGGGUGAAAGGCCAAUCAAACCGGGAGAUAGCUGGUUCUCCCCGAAAGCUAUUUAGGUAGCGCCUCGUGAAUUCAUCUCCGGGGGUAGAGCACUGUUUCGGCAAGGGGGUCAUCCCGACUUACCAACCCGAUGCAAACUGCGAAUACCGGAGAAUGUUAUCACGGGAGACACACGGCGGGUGCUAACGUCCGUCGUGAAGAGGGAAACAACCCAGACCGCCAGCUAAGGUCCCAAAGUCAUGGUUAAGUGGGAAACGAUGUGGGAAGGCCCAGACAGCCAGGAUGUUGGCUUAGAAGCAGCCAUCAUUUAAAGAAAGCGUAAUAGCUCACUGGUCGAGUCGGCCUGCGCGGAAGAUGUAACGGGGCUAAACCAUGCACCGAAGCUGCGGCAGCGACACUAUGUGUUGUUGGGUAGGGGAGCGUUCUGUAAGCCUGUGAAGGUGUGCUGUGAGGCAUGCUGGAGGUAUCAGAAGUGCGAAUGCUGACAUAAGUAACGAUAAAGCGGGUGAAAAGCCCGCUCGCCGGAAGACCAAGGGUUCCUGUCCAACGUUAAUCGGGGCAGG
This 1052-nucleotide ribosomal RNA is filed under the name Escherichia coli. RNAcentral's name for it is "partial 23S ribosomal RNA". It matches the Rfam family "Bacterial large subunit ribosomal RNA", at positions 323 to 1378 of the family's 2925-position model. The record is from RNAcentral. Lineage: Bacteria; Pseudomonadati; Pseudomonadota; Gammaproteobacteria; Enterobacterales; Enterobacteriaceae.